UUUCUGUUGUUUUUGCAUUAUAGAUCAAUCUGGGAUCAUGGCAAUACCUCUAGACAAAAUACAGCUUCAUACAGUGAUUUUACAAAGUGAGGUCAUUGUCUCCUGCAAACAUCAUGAGAUCACCUCGUGGAUCAAGGCCUAUAAAACUUUCCUCCUAUGUCACCUUCGCAACAACAAGCCCUGCUCUAUUUCAGUAGGGUGACAUAAGCACAUGUACUGUACAUACUGGAUCGCAUACAGGUACGUGCACAACAUCUGGAACAAGCACACUGCCAAAUCAGGUCCACAUCAUGUGCAUAUGAUGAACAGGAAUCUCUUUCUCUUUGAACUGCACUUCACAUCUGCCAAGAUUGAAUAGCUCAAGUUUUUAUAUGCAAUGAUGCGGGACGUGGUUGUAAUGAAAUUGGAAGCGAUGUGCUCUUAUUGUAAAUUACUGCAUGUUACUGUACAAAAUGGCUAUGGGCAAU
Long non-coding RNA from Astyanax mexicanus (Mexican tetra), 467 nucleotides. RefSeq lists it as uncharacterized. The record is from RefSeq and is a predicted model, not a curated record. Lineage: Eukaryota; Metazoa; Chordata; Actinopteri; Characiformes; Acestrorhamphidae. The transcript is spliced from 3 exons.